Molecule: ribosomal RNA, 789 nt
Filed under: Staphylococcus aureus
Lineage: Bacteria; Bacillati; Bacillota; Bacilli; Caryophanales; Staphylococcaceae
Description: partial 23S ribosomal RNA
Rfam family: Bacterial large subunit ribosomal RNA
Source: RNAcentral
UUAUGUCAUGUUAUCGAUAUGUGAAUACAUAGCAUAUCAGAAGGCACACCCGGAGAACUGAAACAUCUUAGUACCCGGAGGAAGAGAAAGAAAAUUCGAUUCCCUUAGUAGCGGCGAGCGAAACGGGAAGAGCCCAAACCAACAAGCUUGCUUGUUGGGGUUGUAGGACACUCUAUACGGAGUUACAAAGGACGACAUUAGACGAAUCAUCUGGAAAGAUGAAUCAAAGAAGGUAAUAAUCCUGUAGUCGAAAAUGUUGUCUCUCUUGAGUGGAUCCUGAGUACGACGGAGCACGUGAAAUUCCGUCGGAAUCUGGGAGGACCAUCUCCUAAGGCUAAAUACUCUCUAGUGACCGAUAGUGAACCAGUACCGUGAGGGAAAGGUGAAAAGCACCCCGGAAGGGGAGUGAAAUAGAACCUGAAACCGUGUGCUUACAAGUAGUCAGAGCCCGUUAAUGGGUGAUGGCGUGCCUUUUGUAGAAUGAACCGGCGAGUUACGAUUUGAUGCAAGGUUAAGCAGUAAAUGUGGAGCCGUAGCGAAAGCGAGUCUGAAUAGGGCGUUUAGUAUUUGGUCGUAGACCCGAAACCAGGUGAUCUACCCUUGGUCAGGUUGAAGUUCAGGUAACACUGAAUGGAGGACCGAACCGACUUACGUUGAAAAGUGAGCGGAUGAACUGAGGGUAGCGGAGAAAUUCCAAUCGAACCUGGAGAUAGCUGGUUCUCUCCGAAAUAGCUUUAGGGCUAGCCUCAAGUGAUGAUUAUUGGAGGUAGAGCACUGUUUGGACGAGGG